This 885-nucleotide ribosomal RNA is filed under the name Staphylococcus aureus. Its description in RNAcentral is "partial 23S ribosomal RNA". It matches the Rfam family "Bacterial large subunit ribosomal RNA", at positions 283 to 1164 of the family's 2925-position model. Lineage: Bacteria; Bacillati; Bacillota; Bacilli; Caryophanales; Staphylococcaceae. The record is from RNAcentral.
GCUUGCUUGUUGGGGUUGUAGGACACUCUAUACGGAGUUACAAAGGACGACAUUAGACGAAUCAUCUGGAAAGAUGAAUCAAAGAAGGUAAUAAUCCUGUAGUCGAAAAUGUUGUCUCUCUUGAGUGGAUCCUGAGUACGACGGAGCACGUGAAAUUCCGUCGGAAUCUGGGAGGACCAUCUCCUAAGGCUAAAUACUCUCUAGUGACCGAUAGUGAACCAGUACCGUGAGGGAAAGGUGAAAAGCACCCCGGAAGGGGAGUGAAAUAGAACCUGAAACCGUGUGCUUACAAGUAGUCAGAGCCCGUUAAUGGGUGAUGGCGUGCCUUUUGUAGAAUGAACCGGCGAGUUACGAUUUGAUGCAAGGUUAAGCAGUAAAUGUGGAGCCGUAGCGAAAGCGAGUCUGAAUAGGGCGUUUAGUAUUUGGUCGUAGACCCGAAACCAGGUGAUCUACCCUUGGUCAGGUUGAAGUUCAGGUAACACUGAAUGGAGGACCGAACCGACUUACGUUGAAAAGUGAGCGGAUGAACUGAGGGUAGCGGAGAAAUUCCAAUCGAACCUGGAGAUAGCUGGUUCUCUCCGAAAUAGCUUUAGGGCUAGCCUCAAGUGAUGAUUAUUGGAGGUAGAGCACUGUUUGGACGAGGGGCCCCUCUCGGGUUACCGAAUUCAGACAAACUCCGAAUGCCAAUUAAUUUAACUUGGGAGUCAGAACAUGGGUGAUAAGGUCCGUGUUCGAAAGGGAAACAGCCCAGACCACCAGCUAAGGUCCCAAAAUAUAUGUUAAGUGGAAAAGGAUGUGGCGUUGCCCAGACAACUAGGAUGUUGGCUUAGAAGCAGCCAUCAUUUAAAGAGUGCGUAAUAGCUCACUAGUCGAGUGACACUGCGC